UACGAAGGGGGCUAGCGUUGUUCGGAAUUACUGGGCGUAAAGCGCGCGCAGGCGGUCCUUCAAGUCAGAGGUGAAAGCCCAGAGCUCAACUCUGGAAUGGCCUUUGAGACUAGAGGACUUGGGUACGGGAGAGGUGAGUGGAAUUCCGAGUGUAGAGGUGAAAUUCGUAGAUAUUCGGAAGAACACCAGUGGCGAAGGCGGCGUCCUGGCCUGCGACUGACGCUGUGGCGCGAAAGCUAGGGGAGCGAACGGG
Molecule: ribosomal RNA, 253 nt
Filed under: uncultured bacterium
Lineage: Bacteria
Description: partial 16S ribosomal RNA
Rfam family: Bacterial small subunit ribosomal RNA
Source: RNAcentral